RNAcentral lists this ribosomal RNA (537 nucleotides) under uncultured Glomus. RNAcentral's name for it is "SSU rRNA". It matches the Rfam family "Eukaryotic small subunit ribosomal RNA", at positions 559 to 1097 of the family's 1831-position model. The record is from RNAcentral. Lineage: Eukaryota; Fungi; Glomeromycota; Glomeromycetes; Glomerales; Glomeraceae.
GUCUGGUGCCAGCAGCCGCGGUAAUUCCAGCUCCAAUAGCGUAUAUUAAAGUCGUUGCAGUUAAAAAGCUCGUAGUUGAAUUUCGAGAUCAGUACGCUGGUCGUGCCUUCGGUAUUCACUGGUGUCACUGGUUUCUCCCUUCUGAAGAACCGUCAUGUCAUUAAGUUGGUGUGGCGGGGAAUCAGGACUGUUACUUUGAAAAAAUUAGAGUGUUUAAAGCAGGCUCGCGCUUGAAUACAUUAGCAUGGAAUAAUGAAAUAGGACGUUUGACCCUAUUUUGUUGGUUUCUAGGAUCGACGUAAUGAUUAAUAGGGAUAGUUGGGGGCAUUAGUAUUCAAUUGUCAGAGGUGAAAUUCUUGGAUUUAUUGAAGACUAACUACUGCGAAAGCAUUUGCCAAGGAUGUUUUCAUUAAUCAAGAACGAAAGUUAGGGGAUCGAAGACGGUCAGAUACCGUCGUAGUCUUAACCAUAAACUAUGCCGACUAGGGAUCGGAUGAUGUUAAUUUUUUAAUGACUCAUUCGGCGCCUUACGGGAAA